UCCGGAAUCAUUGGGCGUAAAGCGCCUGUAGGUUGUUUAAUAAGUCCGUUGUUAAAGACUAGGGCUUAACCCUAGGAAAGCGAUGGAAACUGAUAGACUUGAGUAUGGCAGGGGUAGAGGGAAUUUCUAGUGUAGCGGUGAAAUGCGUAGAUAUUAGAAAGAACACCGGUGGCGAAAGCGCUCUACUGGACCAUUACUGACACUGAGAGGCGAAAGCUAGGGGAGCGAAAGGGAUUAGAUACCCCUGUAGUCCUAGCCGUAAACGAUGGAUACUAGAUGUUGUGCAAUUUGGACAGUAUCGUAGCUAACGCGUUAAGUAUCCCGCCUGGGGAGUACGCUCGCAAGGGUGAAACUCAAGGGAAUUGACGGGGGCCCGCACAAGCGGUGGAGCAUGUGGUUUAAUUCGAUGCAACGCGAAGAACCUUACCAGGGCUUGACAUACUACAGAUCCCUUUGAAAAAAGGGAGUGCCUUCGGGAAUGUAGAUACAGGUGGUGCAUGGCUGUCGUCAGCUCGUGUCGUGAGAUGUUGGGUUAAGUCCCGCAACGAGCGCAACCUUUAUUUUUAGUUACCAACUCGUUGGGUUCUCUAGAAAGACUGCCCGGUGACAAACCGGAGGAAGGUGAGGAUGACGUCAAGUCAGCAUGCCCCUUAUGUCCCUGGGCUACACACGUGCUACAAUGGCUAAGACAAAGAGUCGCGAGCUUGCAAAAGUCAGCUAAUCUCAUAAACUUUGCCUAAGUUC
Molecule: ribosomal RNA, 744 nt
Filed under: uncultured marine haptophyte
Lineage: Eukaryota; Haptophyta
Description: bacterial SSU rRNA
Rfam family: Bacterial small subunit ribosomal RNA
Source: RNAcentral